Plodia interpunctella (Indianmeal moth) is the source of this 73-nucleotide non-coding RNA. The record is from the annotation of a RefSeq genome assembly. Lineage: Eukaryota; Metazoa; Arthropoda; Insecta; Lepidoptera; Pyralidae.
GACCUCGGUGGCGAAGUGGUAUCGUGCUCGCCUCUGAACCGAGAGGUCCCGGGUUCGAUCCCCGGUCGGGUCA